AACGAACGCUGGCGGCAGGCCUAACACAUGCAAGUCGAACGCCCUGGCAACAGGGAGUGGCAGACGGGUGAGUAACGCGUGGGAACGUGCCCUUCGGUUCGGAAUAACUCAGGGAAACUUGAGCUAAUACCGGAUACGUGCGAGAGCAGAAAGAUUUAUCGCCGAAGGAUCGGCCCGCGUCCGAUUAGCUAGUUGGUGAGGUAACGGCUCACCAAGGCGACGAUCGGUAGCUGGUCUGAGAGGAUGAUCAGCCACACUGGGACUGAGACACGGCCCAGAUUCCUACGGGAGGCAGCAGUGGGGAAUAUUGGACAAUGGGCGCAAGCCUGAUCCGGCCAUGCCGCGUGAGUGAUGAAGGCCCUAGGGUUGUAAAGCUCUUUCGCCAGGGACGAUAAUGACGGUACCUGGAUAAGAAGCCCCGGCUAACUUCGUGCCAGCCGCCGCGGUAA
This 449-nucleotide ribosomal RNA is filed under the name uncultured bacterium. RNAcentral's name for it is "partial 16S ribosomal RNA". It matches the Rfam family "Bacterial small subunit ribosomal RNA", at positions 29 to 523 of the family's 1533-position model. The record is from RNAcentral.